RNAcentral lists this ribosomal RNA (484 nucleotides) under uncultured bacterium. Its description in RNAcentral is "partial 16S ribosomal RNA". It matches the Rfam family "Bacterial small subunit ribosomal RNA", at positions 30 to 507 of the family's 1533-position model. The record is from RNAcentral.
AUUGAACGCUGGCGGCAGGCCUAACACAUGCAAGUCGAGCGGAUGAAGGGAGCUUGCUCCUGGAUUCAGCGGCGGACGGGUGAGUAAUGCCUAGGAAUCUGCCUGGUAGUGGGGGAUAACGUCCGGAAACGGGCGCUAAUACCGCAUACGUCCUGAGGGAGAAAGUGGGGGAUCUUCGGACCUCACGCUAUCAGAUGAGCCUAGGUCGGAUUAGCUAGUUGGUGGGGUAAAGGCCUACCAAGGCGACGAUCCGUAACUGGUCUGAGAGGAUGAUCAGUCACACUGGAACUGAGACACGGUCCAGACUCCUACGGGAGGCAGCAGUGGGGAAUAUUGGACAAUGGGCGAAAGCCUGAUCCAGCCAUGCCGCGUGUGUGAAGAAGGUCUUCGGAUUGUAAAGCACUUUUAGUUGGGAAGAAGAGCAGUAAGUUAAUACCUUGCUGUUUUGACGUUACCAAAAGAAUAAGCACCGGCUAACUUCGUG